This 28-nucleotide non-coding RNA is filed under the name Rattus norvegicus (Norway rat). Lineage: Eukaryota; Metazoa; Chordata; Mammalia; Rodentia; Muridae. The record is from RNAcentral.
UCACAACGUGAGGGACUGACUGUAAUAA